Molecule: long non-coding RNA, 150 nt
Organism: Octopus sinensis (East Asian common octopus)
Lineage: Eukaryota; Metazoa; Mollusca; Cephalopoda; Octopoda; Octopodidae
Exons: 6
Source: RefSeq, a predicted model, not a curated record
CGUGUGCGCUUCCCAUCUCUCGUUCGAAUAUUUGCUACUACCACCGAGAUCUGCACCCGCGGUCGGUUUCACCCGGGCUCGCGCCCGUGGCUUCCAUGCACGCCGCGGCGCCCUCCUACUCGACCGGGCAUCGGAAAGAAAAAAGAUGGG